AAUAUCAAAGGUGAGCCAGUACAGGAUGGACCCGCGUCUGAUUAGCUAGUUGGUAAGGUAACGGCUUACCAAGGCGACGAUCAGUAGCCGACCUGAGAGGGUGAUCGGCCACAUUGGAACUGAGACACGGUCCAAACUCCUACGGGAGGCAGCAGUGGGGAAUAUUGCACAAUGGGCGAAAGCCUGAUGCAGCAACGCCGCGUGAGUGAUGAAGGCUUUCGGG
This 223-nucleotide ribosomal RNA is filed under the name Clostridioides sp. ZZV14-6104. RNAcentral describes it as "partial 16S ribosomal RNA". It matches the Rfam family "Bacterial small subunit ribosomal RNA", at positions 197 to 422 of the family's 1533-position model. Lineage: Bacteria; Bacillati; Bacillota; Clostridia; Peptostreptococcales; Peptostreptococcaceae. The record is from RNAcentral.